Molecule: small RNA, 1502 nt
Filed under: Pan troglodytes (chimpanzee)
Lineage: Eukaryota; Metazoa; Chordata; Mammalia; Primates; Hominidae
Description: retained intron
Source: RNAcentral
CGGGUACCAGCGUUCCUGAGCGCGGCCGAGGUGGAGGAACACCUCUGCAGCUCCAGCCUCCUCAUCCCGCCUCUAGAGACGGCCCUGGCCAACUUCUCCAGCGGUCCCGAAGGAGGGGUCAUGCAGCCCGUGCGCACCGUGGUGCCGGUGACCAAGCACAGGGGUGCUGCAGAGGAUGCGCUGACCACCAAGUUGGUCACCUUCUACGAGGACCGCGGCAUCACCUCGGUCGUCCCUUCCCACCAGGCUACUGUGCUACUCUUUGAGCCCAGCAAUGGCACCCUGCUGGCGGUCAUGGAUGGAAAUGUCAUAACUGCAAAGAGAACAGCUGCAGUUUCUGCCAUUGCCACCAAGUUUCUGAAACCUCCCAGCAGUGAAGUGCUGUGCAUCCUUGGGGCUGGGGUCCAGGCCUACAGCCAUUAUGAGAUCUUCACAGAGCAGUUCUCCUUUAAGGAGGUGAGGAUAUGGAACCGCACCAAAGAAAAUGCAGAGAAGUUUGCAGACACAGUGCAAGGAGAGGUACGGGUCUGUUCUUCGGUCCAGGAGGCUGUGGCAGGUGCAGAUGUGAUCAUCACAGUCACCCUGGCAACAGAGCCCAUUUUGUUUGGUGAAUGGGUGAAGCCAGGGGCUCACAUCAAUGCUGUUGGAGCCAGCAGACCUGACUGGAGAGAACUGGAUGAUGAGCUCAUGAAAGAAGCUGUGCUGUACGUGGAUUCCCAGGAGGCUGCCCUGAAGGAGUCUGGAGAUGUCCUGCUGUCAGGGGUGAGGCCCUUCUGACCCCAGUCAGGGCUGCCACCUGGCUGGCCUCACCUGGAUCCCAGGGUUUCAUUAACUUCCCUUCCAGUUUGGUCUGCUCCAGACCUCAGCCACCCCACCUCCUUGUAGGGGAAGGAGCUCCUAAACAUUUUGCAACCCUCUUUAAUCCAUUCCAGAAAAAUAUGGGCAUUAUGGGUGGUGACGUGUGUGUUCCUGGAAGGAGAAGCUCAGUGGAUUUUAUUUUUUUGCUGGGCUGUCCUCUAAAGAAGUGGGUUUGGAAGCUUCUUGCAGCCUGGAAACCUUCCCAAUGUGGCCAACAUGAUAAGACUGUGUUGCCCACCUUCUGGCCUCAUUUUACGGUUAUAAUCGGCAUAAAACAAGAAGGGAGCUGCUGGCAUGCAUGUUCAGAUAACAGCAUGUCUAUUUCCUCACUGACACAAUGAUCUUGGCAGGACAGCUCCCUGAGCACCAACUCGAAUCUCUGUGUUUAUGGUAUCACAAAAGCAAAUGCCACCCCAAAAGGAUUUCGGGGCCAGCCUCCUCCCUAAUAUCAUUCAGUGUACAAAGGAUCUCUCUCUUUUUUUUUUUUUAAUCAAAUUUAUCUCUUAUCCAAUUCAGGAAUUCCCUGGGCUGGCUUCAAAAGCCAACCCUGCACAGACUUUGGCUUCAUGCCUGGGUCAGCGUAUGUUUGUUUCCUAGGCCGAGAUCUUUGCUGAGCUGGGAGAAGUGAUUAAGGGAGUGAAGCC